RNAcentral lists this ribosomal RNA (253 nucleotides) under uncultured bacterium. Its description in RNAcentral is "partial 16S ribosomal RNA". It matches the Rfam family "Bacterial small subunit ribosomal RNA", at positions 524 to 776 of the family's 1533-position model. The record is from RNAcentral.
UACGUAGGGUGCGAGCGUUAAUCGGAAUUACUGGGCGUAAAGCGUGCGCAGGCGGUUUUGUAAGCCAGAUGUGAAAGCCCCGGGCUUAACCUGGGAAUGGCAUUUGGGACUGCAAGGCUUGAGUGCGGCAGAGGAGACUGGAAUUCCUGGUGUAGCAGUGAAAUGCGUAGAUAUCAGGAGGAAUACCGAUGGCGAAGGCAGGUCUCUGGGCUGACACUGACGCUCAUGCACGAAAGCGUGGGGAGCAAACCGG